This 1009-nucleotide long non-coding RNA is filed under the name Coturnix japonica (Japanese quail). Its description in RNAcentral is "lncRNA (ENSCJPG00005018110.1)". Lineage: Eukaryota; Metazoa; Chordata; Aves; Galliformes; Phasianidae. The record is from RNAcentral.
AUGCAAACACUCAAGGAAGGAACCUUUCACAACUUUUCCUGCAGUUCCCUGCCCACGUUUUGCAGCAGGACAGCUCCGGGUUGUUGCAGCCCCGCGGCCGGGAGGUGCCGUGCCCGCAUCCAGCUCAGCAUCACGCAGCGCCGCGGGGCCGGAGGGGGCUGCGGUGCUCGUGGGGGCUGCGGCCGGCAGCGGGCUGUCUCGGGAUGCCGCCGAGCCCCGUUCCCAGCCCUCGAGCCCGCCCGCCAGGUGGGGCCGUUGCCGUUCCGGCGAUGCUCGGGGAGGGAUGCGGAGCGAAGGGACCCGGAGGUGCGGGUCGGACGCGUGGGGAUGUCGGGUUGCAAUCGGGUCCCGGGCAACGGGGUGCUGCGAUGCACUGAGCAGGAAACUGUUCCAGCUCCGACCUCAGGGCUCUUCCAGCCUGUGCUGCAGCUGAUACAAAGAGCAGUUCCUUAUCCACCCCGCUUCCCUGCUGGGCCCGCUGUGUGCCGCGGCCGGAUGCCUUCUUCCCCACGAAGGUCCUUUGGUGGCUUGUGCUCGGGUUCUUCGUCCGCUGGGAACGGAGCUCCGGGCUUCAGGACCGCCUCUGCGCCGGCGAAUGGUGCGGAUGCUUCGCUCGCCUGGUGGAUCAUUUCCCUCGUGCAUCUCCUGGUGGGACUGCAGGAGCUGGCAGCAAAAUGAAGCCAUAAAUCACCGUGACAGAUGAUCGAUGUAAACAUUGUUUCCGCCAUGAUUGCCAGCGCUCCCCGUGGGCUCACUGUCCGCUCGCCAUUCGCUGGGAUUGCAGCCGUGCCGCCGGGAGCCGCGCUCACGCACCGAAGUCGCUCCUGUCCAAGAAGUAACCAUCUCAUUUCGGGGCUCAGCCCAAGCGCCCGAUGGCGAAUAUUAAUCAAAACGCCCUGUUUAGGUACCGGGGAGGUCAUCUUCUGGAUCUAAGAAAUGUUUCUCAGGCAAUUGCUCUUUUUAAAAAGUAAAAAAUAAAAUAAAAAGACAUUUUAUGCUCCUGUUUUAU